UUUGUUGCUUUCCACCUUCUCAUUGUCCAUUCUUUCCUUUUUCAGCUCGCGAACACUUUCAGGAAAAACUAGCUCAAGCAAUACCUUAUUACCUCAUUAAAUAUGCAAUACCUUGAAGAGCUGCUGUGAUUGAUUAAAUACCGUUCAGCAAAUAUUUCCCUCUAGGCUCCCCUUCCCUGUGGGACAGAGUCUACUUCCCCUCGAUUCCCGGGUUCCCACCGUGGGCUUGGCCAUGUGACUUGCUUUGGCCAAUGGGAUGUGGACAGAAGUCCACGUGACACUUCUGAGCCCCAGAAGCCGCUUUAGAUCAUGUUCUGGGAGCCAGAGGUCCUUCAGCGUGGGUCCCGCAAGAAGUCACUGGUAGCAACCUAAAUCCUGAACCCGAAGCUCAGCCCAAGGAGGAGCUGCUGCCGCUGACCUGCAGACCUUUAUCCUGCCGGCUUGAAAUUCCUCUUGAGACAGGAUUUGCCUAGAACCUACUGUCCUGAAUCCAAAUCAUUUGUUUAACUUACAGAAGCAUGUAACCAAAAUGGAAAUCAAGUACCAUGGACCUGGACGGUGGGGGCCUGAAUUAAAAUCACUCAAGACAGGAAGAAUUUGACAUGGUCAAUCAGACUUCAGAGCCAAGGCAGGAGGAGAAGAAGAAUUUCUCCAUGUCCAGCAACAUUCCAGCCAGUGAGAAACUGCUUCACUCAGCUAGAGUAAAGCCGUGACCUGAACUCUUGGAAGCAGUCACUCCUGACUUCCUUCUUUCCUCCAUAAAAGCAAGUUAGUCUCCCCGGUUAUCUACUCUUACCUGUGGUUUGCCAUACUUUGCUUGUCCCAAAUUGCAGUUCUCUGGUAUUCCCAAAUAAACUUAUUUUGCUGCUAAAA
Molecule: long non-coding RNA, 873 nt
Organism: Felis catus (domestic cat)
Lineage: Eukaryota; Metazoa; Chordata; Mammalia; Carnivora; Felidae
Exons: 3
Source: RefSeq, a predicted model, not a curated record